RNAcentral lists this transfer RNA (69 nucleotides) under Urocitellus parryii (Arctic ground squirrel). RNAcentral's name for it is "Spermophilus parryii (Arctic ground squirrel) tRNA". It matches the Rfam family "tRNA". Rfam says of the family: Transfer RNA (tRNA) molecules are approximately 80 nucleotides in length. Their secondary structure includes four short double-helical elements and three loops (D, anti-codon, and T loops). Lineage: Eukaryota; Metazoa; Chordata; Mammalia; Rodentia; Sciuridae. The record is from Rfam by way of RNAcentral. RNAcentral also lists the same sequence under 2 other names.
GGGGUUGUAGCUUAGUGGUAGAGUGCUUGCCUAUCACGCAUGAGGCACUGGUUUCCAAACUCAGCUCUG